RNAcentral lists this non-coding RNA (22 nucleotides) under Arabidopsis thaliana (thale cress). The record is from RNAcentral. Lineage: Eukaryota; Viridiplantae; Streptophyta; Magnoliopsida; Brassicales; Brassicaceae.
CCUGGCAAGGCUCCGAGGCUGC